Non-coding RNA from Meleagris gallopavo (turkey), 6775 nucleotides. Lineage: Eukaryota; Metazoa; Chordata; Aves; Galliformes; Phasianidae. The record is from RefSeq and is a predicted model, not a curated record.
UGUCCUUAGUGACAUUCAACUAUUAAGGUUUGUCAGGUGCUUCUUCUGGACCAUUACUAACAUCUUCUUAUUUUCUAUAUUGGUAAAGCUAUCUAGAGGCUAAAGUGAUUAUUUUCCUUAAUGAGUAUUGAGAUAUUGAUGUUUAGUACAGCAAGUCUGUAGUAACAGUAUUAAGCCAUUGAACCAGCUAAUUUAAAGUUUGAUCAAAGAGCUUUUCUUGGUGAAGUGGAGCAGUAAUAUCUCAGUUAAAAAUCACCAUACAAGGCCAUGUAUUACAAAGACCACCACUCACAUGAGUAAGGAGCCUCAAUUAUAUAAUCUGCUCUCUCAUCCAUGCAUGCCUCUGUCAAAGUUCAUUAAUUUGGUAAUGAAAGAAAAUAAGUGUAUAAUCCCAUGGUUUUUAACAGAUCACAGAACCAAGAACAAGCGCUGAUGGAGGGUGUGUGCAAAACCUGGAAGUUUUGCAGAAGGAUUUCCUGGGUUGCCACCAUGAGAGCAGCAGAAGUUCAGAGAUCAUAAUGACAGAACUAAUAAUGUGCUUCCAUAUGAUGGAAUCCCAAGGAAGCUCAUUAUUUGGUGGGUUGAAAGGAAGAAGCAAUAGGUAAAGAAGCACCACCACAGGUGCUUGCAUCCAUACUGCAAAGUCACAUGGAACAGGAACUGACCUCAGCUCUGGAAUCACCAGUUAUUUUUUUCUCCGUGCACACCUACAAGACCAAGUAUGUGGCUGUACUUCCACCUGGAGAUCUCCAGAUGUGGGGGAGAUCUGAUGCCUGCAUGGAGGAUGAAAGGCCUAUGGACUCAUCUUAUUUUGCUGUCUCCACUAAGUAUCCACACUGUCUGGAAAAAAAAAUCCCAUGUUGAUAAUCUGGGGUGAAAUAUAUCCAUGAUGGAGGUUCUUAUAGAUACUCCGAGCAGUAUUUCUAGCACUGCUCCAUCACAAGCACAGGAACAUGUUUAAUCUGAUUCACGUCCUCCAUCUAAAAAAACAGACAAGACCUGCUCACCAAGUAAUAAGUCUGUCUUUAUUUAGUUGGUGGCCUUGGUUCCUGGAUUUCUGUGCCACAAGAGCAGUUUGAGUACAGUGAGACCCUUGUUAUCUGGAAGAUUGCUCAAUGUUGUGCCUUGUUUCAGUGGGAUGAUGACCAAGGAAACUAUUGAACUAUUGCAGGGAUAUAUCAUGAGAAAGAUGCCCAGUCAUCUGCCCACAUGCUGUGAUGCUGGCUCACAUUUCCAAAGCAGAGUUGCAGACAGAAGAGAUCAUGACAGCUCUGAAGAACUUUGCUAUCUAUGCAAGUUCCUUUUUUUAUCCUUUGUAGUGAGUCACUUUGGAAGGCUCCUUUUUUGGUGCUCUUUAGUUAGACUGCCGAUUCCUUUAUCUCGCAUGCCUGGCUUACCCUGAAACUUGUGACUUGGAUGCAACAGUUACUGGGGCUGUUGUCAUAUUUUUUCUCUCUGGAAUGGUUGAAGUGUUAUCCUUUCCCUAUUUUUAAAUUAUUAUUAUUAUUAAUGAAAAUGCUUCUUACAAAGACAGAAUUCACUACCUGCAAAAAUUGACAUACAACCAAGUAGGGUCUGCCACACACUUCGGUCUGGCAGAAUGCUAUGGAAUCUCCAUGAAAGCAACAGCAUUUUACUUUGAAUGGUAAAUUCACGGUGAUUGUGACCUCUACCAUCUUUUCAGAGCUCAGUGUACUUCUGUGGCCUGUGUGUCCAUCCCAGUAUGGUCUCAAAACGUUCUCCGGAUCUACUUCAAAGUACCCACAAGUGAUUAGUGGGAACUACUGAGGCCCUGCCUGAUCUUAUUGGCCUUUAGGAAAAUAAAAGAGUAAAUGCAGCUUAACAGGGCAUACAGGGAAAGAAAGAAAAGGAGCUGCUGUGUCUUGCAUCCGUCAGCACAAAUGUAUUGACUCCUUGAUUCAGAAAGAGGGGGAUGAAGGGAAUGCAUUGUAGAGAAUCCUUACAGAGUAAGCUAAUUCUCUUCCACUUAUUUUCAUUCUCUUUCUUCUUUGGAGGUAAAUGUACACCCAAGCCUGAGAGACAUUCAAACAACACAUGUAUUUAUUGAAUUCAGCUGCAUGGAACACUGUCUCUUGAAGAAAACAUUUGUGCAGAGAUAGAAAAUAGAUCAUUACAUCUAGUAACUGCAUUGAGGCAGGCUGGUAAUAACAAUUUCCUCCCUUCCUUCUGGACUGCAGUGUGAUGGGGUUGAUGUUAAAACAAACAAACAAACCACCUGAUUUCUAAACUGCAAACUAAUUGUGAUAGACGAAAGCCCCUCUAAAGAUAGCACUUGUUCGCUUUCAUGGUUUUCUGGUUGUAAGCUGAAAGUCUUAGUUGCUGACUAAAGUUGCAACACAGAUAAAGUUUUUAAAGGCCUAAUUCAUGAAUCUAAUAACAACACUAAGAGAAGUGAAUGUACAUUGUCACCUCACUAGUGGAUCUAGCUUCACAUUUUCCUUGUAAAAUAGCUAAGUAUCUGGGAGCAAGAAAGUAUCUGGGGUAACUUUCAGGAUCCAGUGGGUUUACUAUUAGGAAAGAAGCCUUUCUACUGCCUUCAUUAGGAAGAAAGGGGCACUGUGCGAGAGCUGCUUGUCAAAGCAGAGCCUCAUUUUCAGCUCUGCGUCAGAGGAUCUGUGCCCAAAAACUGGGGCACAUGGGGCUCCUCAGAAAGGAGAUACACUGGCUGUGAGCUUGCAUGGGCCAGUUGGGAGCUACUGUGCUCCUCAAAAAGGACUUUGCCAGGAAGGGAGAACUUAUCAUCUAGAAUAUAUUUUGGCUGUACUACACAAGUAAGUCAGUAGUGUGUCCGUACAUGCUUAUAUGAGUACUGGCACUCUUUAAAAUGAAAGAGGUAGAGUUGCUUUUUGUCACUCAAGAAUUUUUGCUAUUCAUUUUGCUGGAGCCAUGAUUUCUCACUAAAUCAAAGCCUGAGAUGCCCAUACAGGCUACUGCAGAUUUAUAAAUCGAAGCCGCAGCCCCCAGUUUCUAUGACAACUGGCACCACACCUCUAUAGGAUCUAGCGCUGCAAUCCCGUGACUGCAUGUCAUUCAGUAGUCACUCAUGAGAUUGGUUUGUUCUUAUUCUUGACAAUAAGAGCAUCUUGUUUAAAACUGUUUAAAAGCAGGUUACACUGCUGGCUGCCUAGGGCUUCAGCAUUUGAGCUUCAAAUAUUUUGAGACAUGCUGAUUUGUUUAAGAGCUGCAGUCUUUUCUGGAAUGUUUUUAAAUCAUAUAAUCAUUCCUACUAGUUUUAUGGAUUCCUAAACUGUUAUCUUUUUAUGCAGGCACAAAUUUAAGUUGACAGUGACUUUCUAGACUUCCACUACAAAGGGCCAACUUACUGUUGAUAGAGGAAUAUUUAUCAAAUGGCUCUAUGAUGUCUUGCAAGGGAAGAUUUUUCAUUAACUCUGAUUAGGAAAGCAACCUGCUAUGUAUGUGUCUUCUGUCAGUUCUUACUAUGCCUAGUGUUUGUGGGACUCCUGGUGGUGGGAAGGGGAAGAAAAGAGGAAGAGGAAUACAAGAAUUGUUUAAUAGAGAAAGGAAGAUAUUUUCACUGAAUGUUAUGUUUGCCAGUUACUGUUAUCUUGCAGCCAACAAAAGCCUCAGUGCUUUAAAUCAUCUCCCUUACAGGCUGCAGUGUACUGGUGCUUUACUUACAUACAUACUUCGUACCUCUCCCUAAGAGUGUCAGUGCUGCUUUAGAAGAGCAGCAUGAAAAAUAUUUGCAACAACACCAUCUGUGUUUAAUUUUCCUUAUUUUGGUGUCUGACAAAAUCCUAUGGUUCAAAUGAUCAAAAGGAACAAAGGAGAGGUGUUUUUUUGUUUGUUUUUUAAGUCUUUUAAAAUUAAAGGUUUUAAAAUUAAAACCUUUGAGAGCUUAAUUAAAAGUACUGUAAGAAAAAUAUGCAGUUGACUUACAGCAAUUGACUUGAGGUUUACAUACUACUGCCAAAUCCUGGAAUGAAGAAUGUUUUAAUGUUGAAUUGGGACAGGAACAAUUGUUUUGUGCAUUGUUUAUGUUAAAAAAAGAAAUACUUAGAUUCCAUGUAAAUACUUAAAAGAAAGUUGUUUGUUUGUUUUGUUUUUUUAAUUUGUUAAUAAUGAACCUGAGUUUUUUAUGGACCAGCUGGCAAAUGGGAUAAGUGAAGCUUGGGAAGCAGGUCUGGGCCAGAUAUAGAUGUAUCUAUGCAUGAGGAACAGCCAAUGGAUGGACAUGAGGUCCAGGACAACUUCUAGAGAGACAGUGUGGUUUCGGGGGCUGAGUGGAGAGACUCAUUUAUAUGCACGUAUGACUGUGUGUGUGCACAUCUCUGUGUAUGAGGCAACUUGAGACAAGAUGACUCAGGUCAACUACUAAGACUACUGCCUAAGGCCAACUAAUGGGAUGAUCCUUAUUGUAUGUAUAUGCAUGUUUCCCACAAACAUGCCCUCAUUCUGAUCUGCCAUAAAGGGAAAUAGGAUGAAACUUGUGGUGCUGUUUUUGUUUGUCUGAGUACUGAGUAUGGGACAGGAAUGGGACAGAAAUGGGUUGAAGGAGACCUUAAAGCCCUUCCUGCUCUGCCUGCCCAAGCUGCCCAUGACCCUAUUCAACCUGGCCUUGAACACCUCCAGGGAUGGUGUUUCUUUCUGUGCUGACCCUCAUUGCCAGCUAUGUGCAACUGAUGGGAAUACAUGCUCAGCCUCCCUACUGCAUUCUGCAGGAGACAUACUACAGAGACCUAGGCACAGCUUUAUUGCAUCAUUGCAUGCAUCUUUCCUCAUACUGUAGCACACCUAACAGUUGGUUCAUUUUUAUCCGUUCAUUUUUUUUUCCGCCUGCACAUCCUUAAACGCCUGUUCUGAGACUGAAUCCUCCCCCCGUGCCUGCACGGAUCACCUGGGCAGCCUUAGCAAGGGAUUUCCGCGGGCACUUUCGCGGGGAGCCCCGCGUUCCGAGAGCACGGUGGGCAGCCCACGGCCGCUGCCUCACCCGCCCUCUGGCGGCGGCGCGCAGCCACGGAGCCGCGGCGGAGCCGCUCUGCGGGCACCCGGGUCGUAAUGGGGCGGCUCGCGUUUCAUCGGGAGCGGAGCGGCAGCCAUCCUGCAGGGCACACCGUGGUAGUUUCUGCUGUUUCUCCACGAGUUGUGAUUUUCUAAGGCCAGUGUUAUGUUACCCAGUGUUGGUUAGAAUUCAGUUAAACAAGACAAAGGGGAACUGUUCAAUCUCCACACUUCAGCUCACGCCCUCUCAACAUCUGUUUUUCCUGGUAAUUAUGGUGAGGCUUUGCUGUGCUACCUGCUGCACAGUGUCAUGACUCCUAGCAAUGAGCAGCACUUGUGUUUUCCAGCUGAGUUGUCUACUUGCAUUGAGUUUUAUGUGUGUUUUAAAUUAGCCCCACUAGCUUCAAUGGAUAAAAUGUUUUUGGUUGCCAUGAACAGAAAACAGUAAGAAUCAGGUAGCUGAGCUGGAUGCAGAAUUGGAGUGAUGAGAAAAGGUAACUAUAGAGACAGGAUUUCCCCUGGCACAGAGGAAAUAAAUUAGCAUCAUGACUCAAUAAACCUGGGCAAAGGUUCCUGCCAGAGAUCAAUUUCUAAAGUCUCUGUCUAUAUGACUUUCAACUGAUUGUCUAACAUGAUGGUGCUAGUGGUUUUCAGCUUGAGUACACCACCAAACACAACAGAAGUGACAUAAUAUAAUACAGAUUGAUUCAUCCAGCAAGGAGUGCUACCUGGAGGUGAGGCUUAGGGAAGGACCCCAAGGGUUAUUAAGGCUAGCUUCCAAUAAGUGGCCAGACUCUGAGUUCUCUACCAACUACUACAGCACAAGCCUUUGUGUGAUUACACCUCUGUACACUCAGUAUGAGCUGAGGGCUCAGAACCUCUGCAUUUAAUGAUCUGCAGAGCCGAAGUGUUGGCACUAAAGCCAAGAAGUCAGGCAGUGCUGGUCUAGAGCAAGAGAGACCCUACAUUCAGACUGCAAUCACAGGUGUUGUAACAGCUGGGUUCCUCCAGUCAUGCAAGUCAUGCAGAGCAUACAUCACAUACAAUGGGGAAUCACAGCUCAGGAAGUUUUGUUGGGGUAUUUGUUCUGAGUUUCAAAGACUUGACCAGAUUGUGGCAGCGAAGCCCAGUGGAGCCCUACGUUUGACCUGCUAAUGUUACAACAAACUCACAAAGCAUUGAAGUGACUCAGACUUCUAUGCACAAACAAAAAGUUCAUUUGUCACAUUGUUUCCAAGAGCAAGGCUCUGAGCCCAGACUAGUCAGUUGUCAGGACCACAUUCCCAGCACACCAUUAACGAUCAUUUAUGAUUCCCUUUGGUGCACAAAUGCCCCUAACAUCAAACGUUUGCCUGAUGAGCGGUUGUAGGGUCCUUGCGCCCUGAGCAGAAAAAGUUAGCAAAAGCAUAUGUAUCAGUGAAUACUCAGGAAAUACACCAUCAACACCCCUCAUUAUGGAAGCUUCUCGCAACAGAGAACACUGGAUAGGAGAUCUGAGCCUGCUUUGUCUUAUCUAGAUUACAGGGAUAGAGGAAACAGCACGCUGAAUUAUGCCACAUUCAAAUGAGCAAAACCUGCAGAAAGGCUACGCAUGCCUAAACGAAUGAACAGCCAGCCUGCCACAGCUCCUUGCUGCUCUCAGUGCCUGGGCUGUGUUAGUGCACUGCUGCGCAUCAACAUCAACCACACUGUGACACAAAAACAAACGCAGCACCUCCAAACCCUAUAACCAAAUGAGCAAAAUGCAGUUAGGAUAAAAUAUUGUAAUAAAACCGCACUGGUUCUUACCAAG